RNAcentral lists this transfer RNA (62 nucleotides) under Geisha distinctissima. RNAcentral's name for it is "tRNA-Pro". The record is from RNAcentral. Lineage: Eukaryota; Metazoa; Arthropoda; Insecta; Hemiptera; Flatidae.
CAGUAAGUAUUUUUAUUAAAAUUUUAGUUUUGGGAACUAAAGAUGAGUAUUUUCUUUACUGA